GUCCACGCCGUAAACGAUGGGCACUAGGUGUGGGAGGUGUCGACUCCUCCCGUGCCGGCGCUAACGCAUUAAGUGCCCCGCCUGGGGAGUACGGCCGCAAGGCUAAAAACUCAAAGGAAUUGAACGGGGGCCCGCACAAGCAGCGGAGCAUGUGGUUUAAUUCGAUGCAACGCGAAGAACCUUACCUGGGCUUGACAUGUAACUGACAGUCGUGGAAACACGAUCUUCCUUCGGGACAGUUACACAGGUGGUGCAUGGCUGUCGU
Molecule: ribosomal RNA, 265 nt
Filed under: uncultured bacterium
Lineage: Bacteria
Description: partial 16S ribosomal RNA
Rfam family: Bacterial small subunit ribosomal RNA
Source: RNAcentral